CGCACGGGUGAGUAAUGCAUAGGAACGUGCCUUUUAGUGGGGAAUAACCACGGGAAACCGUAGCUAAUACCGCAUGACCUCGCAAGAGAAAAGGUGGCCUCUACUUGUAAGCUACCGCUAAAAGAGCGGCCUAUGUCCCAUUAGCUAGUUGGUAGGGUAAAAGCCUACCAAGGCAACGAUGGGUAGCUGGUCUGAGAGGAUGAUCAGCCACACUGGAACUGAGACACGGUCCAGACUCC
Molecule: ribosomal RNA, 239 nt
Filed under: uncultured bacterium
Lineage: Bacteria
Description: partial 16S ribosomal RNA
Rfam family: Bacterial small subunit ribosomal RNA
Source: RNAcentral